RNAcentral lists this ribosomal RNA (497 nucleotides) under uncultured bacterium. RNAcentral describes it as "partial 16S ribosomal RNA". It matches the Rfam family "Bacterial small subunit ribosomal RNA", at positions 28 to 507 of the family's 1533-position model. The record is from RNAcentral.
GAUGAACGCUGGCGGCGUGCCUAAUACAUGCAAGUCGAGCGAACGGACGAGAAGCUUGCUUCUCUGAUGUUAGCGGCGGACGGGUGAGUAACACGUGGAUAACCUACCUAUAAGACCGGGAUAACUUCGGGAAACCGGAGCUAAUACCGGAUAAUAUUUUGAACCGCAUGGUUCAAAAGUGAAAGACGGUCUUGCUGUCACUUAUAGAUGGAUCCGCGCUGCAUUAGCUAGUUGGUAAGGUAACGGCUUACCAAGGCAACGAUGCAUAGCCGACCUGAGAGGGUGAUCGGCCACACUGGAACUGAGACACGGUCCAGACUCCUACGGGAGGCAGCAGUAGGGAAUCUUCCGCAAUGGGCGAAAGCCUGACGGAGCAACGCCGCGUGAGUGAUGAAGGUCUUCGGAUCGUAAAACUCUGUUAUUAGGGAAGAACAUAUGUGUAAGUAACUGUGCACAUCUUGACGGUACCUAAUCAGAAAGCCACGGCUAACUACGUG